Molecule: long non-coding RNA, 1801 nt
Organism: Papaver somniferum (opium poppy)
Lineage: Eukaryota; Viridiplantae; Streptophyta; Magnoliopsida; Ranunculales; Papaveraceae
Exons: 9
Source: RefSeq, a predicted model, not a curated record
CCUUUCUUUUCUCUCUCCCUUUCUUUGAUUUCGUUUUUUCUUUUCUCUCUCUCUUAUCUCUUUCUCCUAUUUCCUUUUCUCUUCAGCUCAGCCUCAAAACAACAGAGAGAUUCGAGUGGAGAAAUCGAGAGAAACCAGAUUCCAAACCAUAAACAGAGAUCAAACCAAAAGUAUUAAGCUGAUUUGUGAUUUUGUAUACCUAGAAAGUGGUAUCAAAACCCUAUUUUACAGAAUCGAAAGAAGCCAAAUUAAUUUUUCCUUUUAGCAUGAAACCCUCAUAAGAAGAUUCAAUUGAAGAAUUAAAAACCCUAGAAGAUCUCUAACCUCAGAAAAACAUUGAAGUGAAUUUUUUAGAAGGUUCAACUUUAAAUCCUUGAAGAUUCAGGUGGUGCAUGGAGACGAAGACAGGAAACCAUAGGAUACUAUGGAAAAGAAAAAGGAAAGUCUUUAACAUUGAUUGCUAUCUUUGAGAGUGCUUAGAAGAUGUACUUUAUUUAAAUAAUUCAAUUAAUUCUCUUGCAGUAUGUGACUUUGGAAUGUCAAUUAUCAAACGCCUGUCUCUAAAGCAGGAUGCACUGGGGGCUCAAUAUCUGCAAGUAUUGCUAUAGGAACCCGUUGCUUGAAUCAGAUCUUUAAGUCCUGGAGUAUAUAUAUGUAUCAAGUGUUCAGACGUUCAUAUAAGCCCCGGAGUUCUUAUAUUCAUGGUAUGGAAUCAGAACUUGAUAUUACCUUCAUUAGGACAUUAGACCUGUGUUUUAUCAUAUUUUAAUGUAUAACUUCUAUUGUAUUUUUCUGUGUAAACAUAUACACUAUGGUCCUGUGCAAGGUCUAACUUGGGUGACUGCCGUACUGCUUAUGAAGAUCAUUUUGAUGUUCAAGUCAUCAUUUGCUUUUAAUCUGGGGAAGGUAAUACAAAAUUUUCUGGUGGACAAAGCUGAUGCGGUGUCCUAUAACUUCUAGCCGAGAUAUCGUCAUAGGAUCCUUCUUAUGCUCCAUGGUUCCCUUGAUUGUAACUGGUUCAGAUUGUUGGAAUUACACAAUGAGGUGUCUUUUUUGUGUAUACAGUUCCUCCUCAGCUUUGAUAACAGAAAUCCUCUGCACAGUAUUCAGGGACAUAUUUGACUGGUAAUGAUCUUUUUUGUCCGGGUGAUUCAAGAGGGCCAAAGGAUGUGAGUCAACUGCAAGGCAUGCUGCUUAGUUCCUGAAGAAGAUUCUCACCAGCAACCAUGAUGAUCAAUGUGAAUUGAGCGACAUUUCUUCCGCUAUUGAUGCCCUUAAAAUCUCUCUUGUAGGAAUGAAGCUCAGUGUGCCUUUAUUGAACUCACAAUCAUGUAUGACUUGUGAAUCUACAUCAAGGGAGAUGACUUGUGAAUCUACGCAAAUGACUUGUGAAUGAAAUGCUUAUUGGGUCUGUCGCCAAAGAAGUAGUUAGGUGAGAAGUCGGAUCACAGUAAAUUCUUGGCACGAGGCAGUUAUAAGUCAAGGUUUUAGAUAGAAUUUGAGAGAUAUUACAGAAGGUGCCUCUAAAUUUGGUUACAAACAAAACUUUAAGGAAAUCGUCCAAGGUGUUAUGUUCCCUGGAGCUGGUUUAGACAAGGCAGUUGGCCUUGCAAGAGGCGCUCGUGAGCUCGUAACUGUUAGAGACCUCAAUUGUAGUGAGAGACUUGCAGUUAUAUGAAGCUGUUUUUUGUUAUAAUUUUGAGUAUCUUACACAUGUAAUUAUGACCGAGAUUGAUCAUGUUUGAAUUGUUCUUUUAUAUUUGAUGGGAAAUGGAAUGGCUGGAAGCUCUUGCCGUGUGCC